RNA transcript from Gossypium arboreum, 3033 nucleotides. It is a transcript of the gene named scarecrow-like protein 9, with no coding region annotated. Lineage: Eukaryota; Viridiplantae; Streptophyta; Magnoliopsida; Malvales; Malvaceae. The record is from RefSeq and is a predicted model, not a curated record. The transcript has 4 exons.
CUUUUGAAUUUUUAUUAUUUAUUUUUAUAGCUAGUCUCAAUGUAUUUUAAUGGGUUUUUAAGAUCAUUUCUAUCUGGGUUUAUGUCUAUAUAAAACAUCUUAUUUUAUGUUUUACGUUUUAUGCUGUCCAAAGAUUUGUUUCUGUUUUCUUUUUAAAUGUUAUGUACUGUUCAAAGGUCUUUAGGUUGGGAAUUUGAUAGUCAUGGAUGGUUGGCUGAAGGGAUCUAAUAGUUUUGUGGAUAGGGUAGGACUAAAUGACGGUACGGUCUUAGCUUUAUCCGGUCGGGAUUUCGAUAACCGGUUUAAGAAUGAGAAAUGUGUCGAUAUUCCUUCUUCGGAACCUGUUAUGAUUCCGGGAAAUUCAGGGAACGUAGUGUCUUCCUUGGGAACUUGUUCUGAUAGAGUUGGACUAAAUGAUGGUACAGUGUUGGCCUUAUCCGGUCGGGAUUUUGCUAGCCAGUUUAAGAAUGAGAAUUAUGUUGAUGUUCUUCCUUUGGAACAUGUUAUGGUUCCGGGAAAUUUAGUGCCUUCCUUUGGAACCUGUUCUGAUAUAGUUGGACUAAAUGUUGAUAACCAACCUGUUCCGAUUCCGGGAAAUUCAGUGCCUUCCUCGAGUGUGAACGAGGGAGAUUUGCAUGAGGAUUUUGACUUUAGCGAUGAAGUUCUUAAGUACAUAAGUCAGAUGCUUAUGGAAGAAGAUAUGGAAGAUAAGACUUGUAUGUUUAAAGAGUCAUCGGCAGCACUUCAGGCUGCCGAGAAAGCGUUUUAUGAGGUUCUCGGAGAGAGGUAUCCACCUUCUCCUGAAUAUGAUGGUGAUCAAAACCAAGAAAGCUCCGAUGAAAGUCAUGGUCAAAAUUGUUGGGGAUGUAGUAGUGCAAGCAUUAGUAGUGGUAGCGUAGUUGAUCCUGGUCACAAUCACGAUUUCAGUGAGCAAAGGGCUCUGAACUUCCCAUCCCAGGCUAGUUCAUCUCAUAGCUCGGGAAACAGUACUGGUAGUGUGGUAGAUGGAUAUGCAGAUUCUCCGGUAAGUACUGUUAGGCUUCUGGAAAUAUUUAACAAUAGUGAGUCUGCCAUACAAUUUAGAAAAGGCUUCGAGGAAGCGAGUAAGUUCCUCCCGAAUGGUGGAAGCUUGUUUGUUCACGGGGAGAAUGACGGAUUGUUUCUCAAAGAGCUAAAGGAAGAGACUAAAGAUGUGGCAGUAGAUAAGGUGGAUAAGGAUGAGAUUUCCCGGGAUGGAUCAAGGGGAAAGAAAAAACCUUAUCCUGAGGAUCUGAGUCUAGAGUGUGGGAGGAGUACCAAGCAAUCUUUAGUUUAUACUGAGUCUGCUGUAAGCCCUGAAAUGUUUGAUAUGGUGCUACUAAAUUGUCAAAGUGUAACCGAGCUUCAAAAAGUUUUGCAAGAUGAAACGAGCAAGAAUGUGCAACAGAACGGACAAUUGAAAGGGUCUAAUGGUGGAAAGGCACGUGGGAAGAAACAUGGUGGUAAAAGGAACAUGGUGGAUUUGAGAACUCUCUUAACCCUUUGUGCACAAGCCGUUGCAGCUGAUGAUCGGAGGAGUGCUAAUGAGCUAAUCAAGCAAAUCAGGCAGCAUUCUUCACCUAUGGGUGAUGGGAUGCAGAGGAUAGCUCACUAUUUCAUUGAUGGCCUAGAGGCACGCUUAGCUGGUUCCGGGACCCAAAUUUACACUGCGCUUAUCACAAAGCCGACUUCAGCCGCUGAUGUGUUGAAAGCCCACCAUCUGUUUCUUGCUGCUUGUCCUUUUAAGAAGCUCUCAAAUUUCUUCUCAAAUAAGACUAUAAUGAAUCUAGCUGAAGAUGCUGCUAGGCUUCAUAUUAUUGAUUUUGGUAUUCUAUAUGGUUUCCAAUGGCCUUGCCUUAUACGACGUCUCUCGUCUAGACCUGGUGGACCGCCUAAGUUAAGGAUUACAGGGAUUGAUCUUCCACAACCGGGUUUUCGGCCAGCAGAAAGGGUGGAAGAGACAGGGCGCCGUCUUGCAAACUAUGCUGAAACAUUCAAAGUUCCGUUUGAGUUCCAUGCUAUUGCUCAGAAGUGGGACACCAUUCAAAUUGAGGACCUCGGGAUUGAUCGUGAUGAAGUACUUGUUGUGAACUGUAUGUACAGGCUUAGAAAUCUACUAGAUGAGACCGUGAUUGUGGAGAGUCCAAGGAAUAAGGUUCUUAACUUGAUCAGGAAGAUGAAUCCUGAUGUUUUCAUACUGGGGAUUGUGAAUGGUGCUUAUAGUGCUCCGUUCUUUAUCACGAGAUUUAGAGAGGCUCUCUUCCACUUUUCUACUUUAUUUGAUAUGCUCGAGACUAACGUCCCUCGUGAAAUUCCAGAACGGAUGCUGAUUGAAAGAGAGAUAUUUGGAUGGGAGGCAAUGAAUGUCAUUGCAUGCGAGGGUGCUGAAAGGAUUGAGAGGCCCGAGACUUACAAGCAGUGGCAGAUGAGGAACACAAGGGCUGGUCUCAGACAGUUGCCUCUGAAUAAGGAGAUUAUGCAGAUAGCAAAGGAGAGGGUAGAUACAGGAUACCAUAAGGACUUUGUAAUCGAUGAGGAUAAUCGCUGGCUGCUCCAAGGAUGGAAAGGACGAAUUGUUUAUGCACUCUCGACUUGGGUUCCUGCCCCUUAGAAGGUAAAGUCUUGUGAAGUCCUUUACUGUCGGAUUGCAGCCAUUGAUGGAUUCCACAUAUAUGGAGACAAGGUUACAUAAAUAAGAAACCAGAGGCUGCUUACUGGUUACAUAAAUAAGAAACCAGGGGCUGCUUACUGGUAUUUAUCGAAAAGGUGAAUCCAUCAUGUACCGAAUUGCUAACAUGUACCAGAGAAUAAUAGCCGGUGGUAAGAUGUAUUAGAUCGAAGCUAGCGGUUUAGGUGAAUGUUAAGUAGGUCCGACCUUCUUGAGUUUCUUGUUGUAUUGGCCAGACGAGGUAAUGUUAAGUAGGUCUGACCAUCUGAGUUUCAAAUCCCGACAUCAUUAUCCUCUUAUUCUCAUAUUCAAAUGCAAUGAAGUUCAUUAAUGUAUUUUCUUUUAAA